This 72-nucleotide transfer RNA is filed under the name Candidatus Woesearchaeota archaeon. RNAcentral describes it as "tRNA-Thr". It matches the Rfam family "tRNA". Rfam says of the family: Transfer RNA (tRNA) molecules are approximately 80 nucleotides in length. Their secondary structure includes four short double-helical elements and three loops (D, anti-codon, and T loops). Further hydrogen bonds mediate the characteristic L-shaped molecular structure. tRNAs have two regions of fundamental functional importance: the anti-codon, which is responsible for specific mRNA codon recognition, and the 3' end, to which the tRNAs corresponding amino acid is attached (by aminoacyl-tRNA synthetases). tRNAs cope with the degeneracy of the genetic code in two manners: having more than one tRNA (with a specific anti-codon) for a particular amino acid; and 'wobble' base-pairing, i.e. permitting non-standard base-pairing at the 3rd anti-codon position. The record is from RNAcentral. Lineage: Archaea; Nanobdellati; Candidatus Woesearchaeota.
GCCUCCUUAGCUCAGCGGCGGAGCGCGUGAUUGGUAAUCACGAGGUCCCGAGUUCAAUUCUCGGAGGAGGCU